Molecule: small nucleolar RNA, 108 nt
Organism: Humulus lupulus (European hop)
Lineage: Eukaryota; Viridiplantae; Streptophyta; Magnoliopsida; Rosales; Cannabaceae
Source: RefSeq, a predicted model, not a curated record
AUUCCAUGGUGGGGACAUUUUCUCAAGAACUCCAUUGAACCGCUCUUGUUCCUCAUAUAAAGAUUCUCCUUCAAGUUGCUAAAAUGAAGUGAUUUCAUUAUGAAGCUU